UACGUAGGCAGCGAGCGUUGUUCGGAAUUACUGGGCGUAAAGAGUGUGUAGGCGGUGAUCUAAGUUCGGUGUGAAAUCUCCUGGCUUAACUGGGAGGGUGCGCCGGAAACUGGAUUGCUGGAGCGUGGGAGAGGAAAGCGGAAUUCCUGGUGUAGCGGUGAAAUGCGUAGAUAUCAGGAGGAACACCCGUGGUGUAGACGGCUUUCUGGACCAUAGCUGACGCUGAGACACGAAAGCGUGGGUAGCAAACAGG
This 253-nucleotide ribosomal RNA is filed under the name uncultured bacterium. Its description in RNAcentral is "partial 16S ribosomal RNA". It matches the Rfam family "Bacterial small subunit ribosomal RNA", at positions 524 to 776 of the family's 1533-position model. The record is from RNAcentral.